ACGGCUACAUCAAGUUAAAACACCGGUUCCCGCACGAUCAUCGAAGUUAAGCAACGUCGAGCCUACUCAGUACUUAGAUGGGUGAUAGUUGGGAAUACGACGU
Acanthosepion pharaonis is the source of this 103-nucleotide non-coding RNA. NCBI's taxonomy places the organism in Eukaryota, Metazoa, Mollusca, Cephalopoda, Sepiida, Sepiidae. The record is from the annotation of a GenBank genome assembly.